Molecule: non-coding RNA, 45 nt
Filed under: Trichobilharzia regenti
Lineage: Eukaryota; Metazoa; Platyhelminthes; Trematoda; Strigeidida; Schistosomatidae
Source: RNAcentral
AUCCAGAUGAUGAGCCUUAGAUAAGACGAAAUGCGCAUCCUGUAU